UUGACUCGUUUUUAUAGUUUACAUACCUUUGUACUGCCUCUGCUUACUGUCGUAUUUAUGUUAAUACACUUUCCAAUGAUACGUAAGCAAGGUAUUUCAGGUGCUUUAUAG
Molecule: ribosomal RNA, 111 nt
Filed under: Triticum aestivum (bread wheat)
Lineage: Eukaryota; Viridiplantae; Streptophyta; Magnoliopsida; Poales; Poaceae
Description: partial small subunit ribosomal RNA
Source: RNAcentral